Molecule: ribosomal RNA, 253 nt
Filed under: uncultured bacterium
Lineage: Bacteria
Description: partial 16S ribosomal RNA
Rfam family: Bacterial small subunit ribosomal RNA
Source: RNAcentral
UACAUGGGGUGCAAACGUUGCUCGGAAUUAUUGGGCGUAAGGCGCGCGUAGGCGGUUACUCAAGUCGGAUGUGAAAGCCCUCGGCUUAACUGAGGAAGUGCACCCGAAACUGAGUAGCUAGAGUACCAAAGAGGGUCGCGGAAUUCCCGGUGUAGAGGUGAAAUUCGUAGAUAUCGGGAGGAACACCGGUGGCGAAGGCGGCGACCUGGGUGGAUACUGACGCUGAGGCGCGAAAGCGUGGGGAGCAAACAGG